GCGCGAGUGGUGGAACGGUAGACACGCUAGUUUCAGGUACUAGUGGGGGCAACCCUGUGGAGGUUCAAGUCCUCUCUCGCGCACCA
RNAcentral lists this transfer RNA (86 nucleotides) under Candidatus Saccharimonadota bacterium. RNAcentral's name for it is "Candidatus Saccharibacteria bacterium tRNA-Leu". It matches the Rfam family "tRNA". From Rfam's summary of the family: Transfer RNA (tRNA) molecules are approximately 80 nucleotides in length. Their secondary structure includes four short double-helical elements and three loops (D, anti-codon, and T loops). The record is from RNAcentral. Lineage: Bacteria; Candidatus Saccharimonadota.